RNAcentral lists this ribosomal RNA (319 nucleotides) under uncultured eukaryote. Its description in RNAcentral is "partial 18S ribosomal RNA". It matches the Rfam family "Eukaryotic small subunit ribosomal RNA", at positions 1470 to 1796 of the family's 1831-position model. The record is from RNAcentral.
CCCUUAGAUGUUCUGGGCUGCACGCGUGCUACAAUGGCGUUUCCAGCAAGUCUGCGAACCCGAGAGAGCCAGCGGAUCUUCGAAUUGGCGUCGUGAUCGGGACAGUCGAUUGCAAUUAUUUGACUCAAACGAGGAAUUCCUUGUAAUCGCGAUUCAUCAUAUCGCGCUGAAUACGUCCCUGCCCUUUGUACACACCGCCCGUCGCUCCUACCGAUUGAGCGAUCCGGUAAAUGUUUUGGAUUGGUGCCGGGGCGGCUAGCUGCCGGUCGCUACGAAAUUUUGUGAACCUUAUCGCUUAGAGGAAGGAAAAGUCGUAACA